Molecule: ribosomal RNA, 751 nt
Filed under: uncultured bacterium
Lineage: Bacteria
Description: bacterial SSU rRNA
Rfam family: Bacterial small subunit ribosomal RNA
Source: RNAcentral
GGCGUGCUUUAUGCAUGUAAGUCGAGCGGUUUCCCCGCAAGGGGAGACAGCGGCAAACGGGUGAGUAACGCGUAUGCAACCUGCCCUUUACAGGGGGAUAGCCCGUCGAAAGGCGGAUUAAUACCCCAUAAUAUUGUACCAUCGCAUGAUGGAACGAUAAAAGCUGCGGCGGUAAAGGAUGGGCAUGCGUGACAUUAGCUAGUUGGUAGGGUAACGGCCUACCAAGGCUACGAUGUCUAGGGGUUCUGAGAGGAAGGUCCCCCACACUGGUACUGAGACACGGACCAGACUCCUACGGGAGGCAGCAGUGAGGAAUAUUGGUCAAUGGGCGCGAGCCUGAACCAGCCAUCCCGCGUGCAGGAAGACGGCCCUAUGGGUUGUAAACUGCUUUUGUGCAGGAAGAAUGUGCCCAUCGUGAUGGGUAUUGACGGUACUGCAUGAAUAAGCACCGGCUAACUCCGUGCCAGCAGCCGCGGUAAUACGGAGGGUGCAAGCGUUAUCCGGAUUUAUUGGGUUUAAAGGGUGCGUAGGCGGUGAAAUAAGUCAGUGGUGAAAAGCUGCAGCUCAACUGUAGUCCUGCCAUUGAAACUGUUUUACUUGAGUAACCAUGAGGUAGGCGGAAUGUGUAGUGUAGCGGUGAAAUGCUUAGAUAUUACACAGAACACCGAUUGCGUAGGCAGCUUACUAGCGGUUUACUGACGCUGAUGCACGAAAGCGUGGGGAUCAAACAGGAUUAGAUACCCUGGUAGUC